ACCGGCAGCUCAAGUGGUGGCCAUUAUUAUUGGGCCUAAAGCGUUCGUAGCCGGUUUGAUAAGUCUCUGGUGAAAUCCCGCAGCUUAACUGUGGGACUUGCUGGAGAUACUAUCAGACUUGAGGUCGGGAGAGGUUAGGGGUACUCCCAGAGUAGGUGUAAAAGUCUCGAAUCCUGGGAGGACUACCUGUGGCGAAGGCGCCUAACUGGAACGAACCCGACGGUGAGUAACUUAAGCCAUUGGCGUGGACGG
Molecule: ribosomal RNA, 252 nt
Filed under: uncultured prokaryote
Description: partial 16S rRNA
Rfam family: Archaeal small subunit ribosomal RNA
Source: RNAcentral